RNAcentral lists this ribosomal RNA (253 nucleotides) under uncultured prokaryote. RNAcentral's name for it is "partial 16S ribosomal RNA". It matches the Rfam family "Bacterial small subunit ribosomal RNA", at positions 525 to 777 of the family's 1533-position model. The record is from RNAcentral.
ACGAGGGGGGCAAGCGUUGUUCGGAAUUAUUGGGCGUAAAGGGCGCGUAGGCGGUGCGGUAAGUCACCUGUGAAAUCUCCGGGCUUAACUCGGAGCCUGCAGGCGAAACUGCCGUGCUUGAGUGUGGGAGAGGUGCGUGGAAUUCCCGGUGUAGCGGUGAAAUGCGUAGAUAUCAGGAGGAACACCGAUGGCGAAGGCAGGUCUCUGGGCAUUAACUGACGCUGAGGAGCGAAAGCAUGGGGAGCGAACAGGA